Molecule: long non-coding RNA, 1304 nt
Organism: Nerophis ophidion (straightnose pipefish)
Lineage: Eukaryota; Metazoa; Chordata; Actinopteri; Syngnathiformes; Syngnathidae
Exons: 3
Source: RefSeq, a predicted model, not a curated record
CUGAGCUCAGGCGACUGCAGCAUGUUGUUGGUGAUGGAGGCGGAAUCCGUCCCUGGAUCGCUGCUGAACAUUGGAGUGUGUUAGUGAAUGGGAGUUUUUCGACCAGUCAGCGAUCAGCCUAUAAGAAAAAAUGAAAUGGAAAUUGUUCUGUCCAGGAGGUAGAGGUUGUCUACGGCCACAUGUAAACAGGAAAAAGAGAACAGGACCCACCCAGGGUGUUCCAGGACAUUCCGUGAAUUCCCAACUCCAACAAUUCCUUAAAGACAGCCCCUGCAAGGCAACAUGGACCCGCCGGUCCUCCUGUGAGACACACACUCACACACACUACAACCCCCUCAUGGUGAGCCCUCACAAGAACAGGAGCACAAACAUGUUUGCUGUGGAAAGAGAUUAAUCUGGAAUGAAGCACUGAUAUUUAAUCCCUAGCCACCGCCACUGUGUGUGUAUGUCUGCAUGUGCGUGUGCGUGUGUGUGUGUGUGUGUGUGUGUGUGUGUUUUGACCGCUUUCACAUGCCAUCACACAACAGGGAUUAAAUACAAAACACACAAUGCCAGUUCUGUUUUUAAACGUAAACUUUAUGCAGUAAUGACACUUACACUGUUCCACAACACACACACACGCACUCACACACACACUCGCGUGCGCUCGCAAUUCUGAUUCUCACAAUAGGUGUGCAAAUUCAUUGCUGAUUGCUCUUCUAUUUAAUCUUAUUGUCCUACCUCAGACCUGGGUGAUAUGGAAGCCCAAUAGUUGGACCAAAAAACGCUGGAGUGACGUCCGGUCAGUUUGUGAGCGCAGCUCAACUCCUUAGACUUUAAACCGCCCGGGUGUCAAUCACCGUGGUUCUCAAAUGGGGGUACGUGUACCCCUGGGGGUACUUAAAGGUAUGCCAAGGGGGUCGCCGGGGGCACUGGCGCCUAUCUCAGCUACAAUCGGGCGGAAGGCGGGAUACACCCUGGAAAAGUCGCUCUUCAUCGCAGGGCCAACACAGAUAGACAGACAACAUUCACACUCACAUUCACACACUAGGGCCAAUUUAGUGUUGCCAAUCAACCUAUCCCCAGGUGCAUGUCUUUCAAAAAUCCUUUAUAAAUAUACUUAUUGAAUAAUAUUUCAACCAAAUAUGAAUGUAAGUUCAUAAACUGUGAAAAGAAAUGCAACAAUGCAAUAUUCAGUGUUGACAGCUAGAUUUUUUUGUGGAAAUGUUCCAUAAGUAUUGAUGUUAAAGAUUUAUUUUUUUGUGAAGAAAUGUUUAGAAUUAAGUUCAUGAAUCCAGAUGGAUCUCUAUUACAAUCCCCAAAGA